CGUGCGCAGGCGGUUAUAUAAGACAGAUGUGAAAUACCCCGGGCCUCAACCUGGGAACUGCAUUUGUGACUGUAUAGCUGGAGUGCGGCAGAGGGGGAUGGAAUUCCGCGUGUAGCAGUGAAAUGCGUAGAUAUGCGGAGGAACACCGAUGGCGAAGGCAAUCCCCUGGGCCUGCACUGACGCUCAUGCACGAAAGCGUGGGGAGCAAACAGGAUUAGAAAUACCCUGGU
RNAcentral lists this ribosomal RNA (230 nucleotides) under uncultured bacterium. RNAcentral's name for it is "partial 16S ribosomal RNA". It matches the Rfam family "Bacterial small subunit ribosomal RNA", at positions 567 to 791 of the family's 1533-position model. The record is from RNAcentral.